This 73-nucleotide transfer RNA is filed under the name Fasciola gigantica. RNAcentral's name for it is "tRNA-Val". The record is from RNAcentral. Lineage: Eukaryota; Metazoa; Platyhelminthes; Trematoda; Plagiorchiida; Fasciolidae.
AGCCCCGAUAGCCUUGUGGUUAAGGUGUUCGAUUCACAAUCGUUCACCCCGGAUUCGAGUCCCCGUGGGGCUC